GUUGCUUUUAUGUGAACACUACAAGGCUUCCCUCUCAUGGAGAGAAGUUCUAUAGCACUCUUCUGUAUGUAAUAUAACAUCUUUAGGUUAGAUUUGUAUUUAGCCUUUGAGUUCUGCAGUUUUCAUCCUCUUGGUCUUCCACUUCAACUUUCCUUUCUGCUGGACUUUUCUGUUCUGUCUCCUGCUUCAUUUUAACUGUGGGACAGCCUAUGGGGAAACAAAGGGCUCCUCCCCUUCUAAGGGCUUUUCCGAACCUGUUGUGAGUGACAUCGUCACACAUGAAAAGGAGGUGAGACUAAGAAAAGUGUCUCUUCUGAAGGAUGGACACACACACAGGUCGAAUUGAUUUACGACCCCCUCCCAUGGAAACCAGGUGUCUUCAACUCCCAACUCCUACAACCAUCGUCCUCUUUGUGUUCUG
This 421-nucleotide long non-coding RNA is filed under the name Salmo salar (Atlantic salmon). Its description in RNAcentral is "lncRNA (ENSSSAG00000120979.1, ENSSSAG00020083855.1)". The record is from RNAcentral. Lineage: Eukaryota; Metazoa; Chordata; Actinopteri; Salmoniformes; Salmonidae.